Molecule: ribosomal RNA, 484 nt
Filed under: uncultured bacterium
Lineage: Bacteria
Description: partial 16S ribosomal RNA
Rfam family: Bacterial small subunit ribosomal RNA
Source: RNAcentral
AUUGAACGCUGGCGGCAGGCCUAACACAUGCAGGUCGAGCGGAUGAAGGGAGCUUGCUCCUGGAUCCAGCGGCGGACGGGUGAGUAAUGCCUAGGAAUCUGCCUGGUAGUGGGGGAUAACGUCCGGAAACGGGCGCUAAUACCGCAUACGUCCUGAGGGAGAAAGUGGGGGAUCUUCGGACCUCACGCUAUCAGACGAGCCUAGGUCGGAUUAGCUAGUUGGUGGGGUAAAGGCCUACCAAGGCGACGAUCCGUAACUGGUCUGAGAGGAUGAUCAGUCACACUGGAACUGAGACACGGUCCAGACUCCUACGGGAGGCAGCAGUGGGGAAUAUUGGACAAUGGGCGAAAGCCUGAUCCAGCCAUGCCGCGUGUGUGAAGAAGGUCUUCGGAUUGUAAAGCACUUUAAGUUGGGAGGAAGGGCAGUAAGUUAAUACCUUGCUGUUUUGACGUUACCAACAGAAUAAGCACCGGCUAACUUCGUG